This 683-nucleotide long non-coding RNA is filed under the name Homo sapiens (human). RNAcentral's name for it is "HSALNT0285042". The record is from RNAcentral. Lineage: Eukaryota; Metazoa; Chordata; Mammalia; Primates; Hominidae.
UAAAAAUGCUUCGCUUCCACUUCUCAUCUGAAAAGAAAUGGUCUGCUGGUCACAGCGGGGCACCUCGAGGAGAGGACGACUAGGAGCACACGGCCCGGAAAGGUCCAGGUCAGGGAAGGGGUACGCAGUGGGCCGGGACUGGGGCGCGAGGGUGGACGCCGAAAGGCAUGGAGUCUGCAGGCCGCACUGUCCCGCCCCUGUCACUGCGGGCGAGGCCUGUAGCAAAGCCUGCUGGGAAAAUGGUGGGCUUUCGGGAAGGAGGGGGCGACCGGGAAGCGGCGGAGUCGGGAGAGCCGGAGAGCCUCUGGGAAAGCGCAAGGUUGAGGACCUGGCCCCCGAAUCAGGAAAAGAAUAACUGUGCUUGAAGAAGAAAAUUCCCAACAUGGACAAACCACGCAAAGAAAAUGAAGAAGAGCCGCAGAGCGCGCCCAAGACCGAUGAGGAGAGGCCUCCGGUGGAGCACUCUCCCGAAAAGCAGUCCCCCGAGGAGCAGUCUUCGGAGGAGCAGUCCUCGGAGGAGGAGUUCUUUCCUGAGGAGCUCUUGCCUGAGCUCCUGCCUGAGAUGCUCCUCUCGGAGGAGCGCCCUCCGCAGGAGGGUCUUUCCAGGAAGGACCUGUUUGAGGGGCGCCCUCCCAUGGAGCAGCCUCCUUGUGGAGUAGGAAAACAUAAGCUUGAAGAAGGAA